AAUUGGCUUAGUUAGGAGGCAGAGAUCAAACUGUUUGAUCAAUCUAGGGUUGGUCAUUCAUAAUCCAAGGCCUUUUUGAGGGGACAAUCUUGCUAUUCCUCUAUUGAUUGUCCUCCAAGCAGCCUUAGACAUCU
This is a small nucleolar RNA of Hevea brasiliensis (rubber tree), 134 nucleotides long. RefSeq annotates it as small nucleolar RNA U19. The record is from RefSeq and is a predicted model, not a curated record. The transcript has a single exon. Lineage: Eukaryota; Viridiplantae; Streptophyta; Magnoliopsida; Malpighiales; Euphorbiaceae.